AUGGACAUAUCUAAAGGCUUCCUUAGAAGAGACAAAACUCUCCAAUUAGUAAGGCAAGAUUCAAGACCUCUAGCCAUGAAGCAUAGAUUAGCAUGCAAAGCUGAUGAUAUUGAUAGUAUUGAAGAAGUUAUAGAUAUACAAAGAGAUCUCGAAAGAUAUCAGAAAGAUACCUUAAGAAAAAUAAAACCACAACAAGUAUAUCACAUGGGUAUGUUUGAAAGUAAGAGUGGUCUAUACAGAAUAUCCCGAGAAGUAGAAUUAAGUGUGUUAACACAUCUAGUAGAUUUAAGAUUUGUAAGCAAAAAUAUUGAAAAUGAGCUAAAAUUAAUUGGUUAUAAAUAUAUUCAUCAAGAUGAUGUGGGACUGCAUAAUUUAGACAAUGCAAUGGAAGCCAUGGAAGUAGAAAAUAGUGGUAAAAGAAGAAGGAUAGGGGAAUCGUCUGUAAAAAGAGAAGGAGAAAGAGAGAGACCUACUAGAUCAGCUAGACAAUGGCCUCCAGAAAAAGAUGAUUAUCAACCUACAUAUAUCCCAGGACAAUAUAGAUAUAUAGGUACUAAAAGAAGAGAUUUUGAAAAACCAGUGCAAUUUCAGAAUUAUAAGAAUGAUGUCGCUAUAUUAAACAUAGCAGCUCAUGUUCCAAUAGAUUGGCCAAAUAUAAUCAGCAUAUGGAAAGGUUUAAUAGUGCAAAAAUAUAUACAAAAUCAGUAUAAUAUAGGCACUAAGGUAGAAGAUAUGUGAACAUAUCUUGAAACAUUUUUAGGAGAAUCUGUAGAAGUUCUAUGGGAACAAUGGGUAGAGUCAUACCCUAGUCAAUAUGAAGAAUUAAAAAGGGCAUGAAGUAACCCUAAUAACUUUGCGAAUCUUAUCUCAAAUAUGAUCAUAGCAGAAGAUCCAGAAUUAGGACAUACCUCAUUGCAAAAUGAAAGGUUAAGGGAAAUAGAAAAAUCAACAUUAACUAGCUGGAAAGGUAUUAAAGCAUUUUCCCAGCAUUAUUUGUAUAAUGCUACUACUGCUAAACAAGGUUUUAAUGUUGGUGUAGUAGAAAGAUAUUUUAAUAAGUUGCCUGACCCCUUAUGGUCAAUAAUAUUUGAGGAAUAUAAAAAAGAAACACGAGGAAAUGUGGUAAAUAUAUCCCAAGCCAUAACAUUUGUUUUUAAACAGCUAAGAAAGGUAUGUACUAGCAUUCAAGCCCAAAGAUCUAUGAAGAAAUCAGAUUACAAUUUUUGCAAUAACAUUGUCCAAAUACCGCUAACAUAUGGAGAAGAAAGGCAUAGGAAAAAAUAUAAACCACAAAGGAGAGAUAAUAGAAAUUUAAGAACAAAGAAAAGAUAUUUCUUAAGAAGGUCAGACAAUAGAGCCCCAUUCUUGCAUAAAAGAAAUGUAAGAAGAUAUAAUCCCAAGAAAACCUAUGAUAAAACAUGCAGGUGUUUCAUAUGUAACUCUCCUGAUCAUCUAAGUAGAACUUGCCCUAAUAAAGAUUAGAAAAGGUAUUCCAGUAAAUAUGAAGAACAAGAGAGAGUGUUAAUUAUAGAUAGGGUUAAUGAAAAUAUAUUAGUAUGUGAUGAUGAAAUAAAAGACGACGAGUCAAUAUAUUCAAUUAUAGAAACAGAUGAAGUAGAAAAUGAGGUUCUAGAAUAUGAAUCAAGUGAAGAUGAAAUAGACCUAAUAGAUGAAUUAGCCGGUUUAAAAAUUGAAAUGAUGAACCAAGUAGAUUAUGAACAUGAUUGGAUUAGAGGAAAAUGUGAUUAUAACAUAAAAUGUGCUUUCUGUAUAUAUUACCCAAGCCAAGAUAAUAGGUUCACAUGUAGCUUGUGUUUAAAACAAGCAUGUGCCUCAUGUCUAAGAGCCAAUAAUCAAAAGUGGAGACAAGAAAUAGAAUUAGAACCAGAAGAACGAAUAUUAUCCAGUAGGGUUAGAAAUUUAGAAAAUAGAAUAAAUAAGCUAGAAGCAGAGCUAGAAAAACUUAAAGAUGAGUUAGAAAAUGGUAAGAAGGAAGAUAAUAAUGUUGCUAAAAUCACGGAAAUGAAAGAGAAAAUAGUAACAGUAAGGGAUAAAAAAGGACACAAGUUAAUGCAAUUGAAAGAUGCAAUUACUAGUUUGGGAAACAAAUAUAUUGUUCGAUUAUCAUUCAAAGAAGUGUUAGGGAUAAUGAUCCCAGUUAGGAUUGUUCUGAAGCCAAAUAUUUCAUAUAAAAUACUGGCACUAUUAGAUACUGGUUGCACUAAGAAUAUCAUCCAUGAUAAAUAUUUUAUGAGAUGUCCCGAAAUAGUUGAAACUAUAGAUGAUAAUAAACCUGAAGAUUCUACCGAUAUGUCAGGAAUAAAGAAGAUCCAUAAUUAGCUAGCAUAUAAUAUUGAAGCUUACAUAAAUGGCACAAAAUAUAUAAUAGAUGAAAUUACAUUAAGAGUUUUGUCAGUAAUAAAUGAUGACAUGAUAAUAGGGUUAAGAUUUUUACAACAAUCUUUACAAACCACAAUCGUACAUGAAGAAGGGGUAACAUUUAUCCCUUAUCAAGAUAAUGUUCCAUACAUAUCUGAUGAUGAAUAUAGCACAAGUCUAGAUCCCCUUGAAUUCUGUAAAGACGAAGAACUUAGUGAGACCAUAGAAGAAUAUCAUAUAGAAAAUACAUGUAAAAAAUGCAUUGGGGUACAAUCAUUUUCACCAAAUUGGUAUAGAGAUAUAAAAUCUAAAAAAGAUAUAGAUAAGAUUGUGCAAAGAAUAGAAAGCAUACAAAUUAUUGGAGAAAUACCAAUGAAACAUUGGGAUAAGAACUCUAUAGUUUGCAGAAUAAAUAUCAUAAAUCCAGAUUAUAUAAUUAAAUUAGGACCAAUAAAAGCUACUCCAAAAGGUAUUGAAGAGUUCAAAAUGCAUAUUGAAGAGUUAUUAAAGUUAAAAGCUAUAAGAGAAAGCAGAAGCCCUCAUCGGUCUGCUGCAUUCAUAGUUAGAAAUCAUGCUGAAGAAGUUAGAGGUAAAUCUAGAAUGGUAAUUAAUUUUAAAAGGCUUAAUGAUAAUACAGUUGACAAUGCAUACAACAAACCUAAUAAGUAG
This 3048-nucleotide ribosomal RNA is filed under the name Triticum aestivum (bread wheat). RNAcentral describes it as "partial small subunit ribosomal RNA". The record is from RNAcentral. Lineage: Eukaryota; Viridiplantae; Streptophyta; Magnoliopsida; Poales; Poaceae.